This 111-nucleotide ribosomal RNA is filed under the name Propithecus coquereli (Coquerel's sifaka). The record is from RNAcentral. Lineage: Eukaryota; Metazoa; Chordata; Mammalia; Primates; Indriidae.
GUCUAUGGCUGUACCACCCUGAACAUGCCCAGUCUCAGAAGCUAAGCAGGGUCAGGCUUGGUUAGUACUUGGAUGGGAGAGUAAAUGGGUGAUUUCCAGAGGCCAGGAAGU